GCAGACACAUUCCAGCCAAUCAGCAGCAGACCCUCCCUCCCAGAUCCUCCCACCUCCUGGACAGCAUCCAUUUUACAUUCAUUGUUACAUUCUUAGUGAGCUGUCUAGGAGGUGGGAGGGUCUGGGAGGGAGGGUCUGCUGCUGAUUGGCUGGAAUGUGUCUG
RNAcentral lists this microRNA precursor (163 nucleotides) under Pelobates cultripes (western spadefoot toad). Lineage: Eukaryota; Metazoa; Chordata; Amphibia; Anura; Pelobatidae. The record is from RNAcentral.